RNAcentral lists this long non-coding RNA (264 nucleotides) under Gossypium raimondii (Peruvian cotton). RNAcentral describes it as "long non-coding RNA (GRAI_LNC002825)". Lineage: Eukaryota; Viridiplantae; Streptophyta; Magnoliopsida; Malvales; Malvaceae. The record is from RNAcentral.
CUAUUUAAAACGAGAAGAACGGACGUUCGAGAAGAGCCGGAGUAAGUAGAUUUAUAAAAAAAAUUCGUAUAUUAAAAAAAGUUGUAUUUAAAUUACAUGUAAAUCAUCAUAUUGUAUUGAAGUUUAUUAUAAAAAAGAAAUUUGGAAAAAAAAUUGAAAGUGGUUAAUUCAUUCCAUUUUGGUUAUUCCCGAUCAUCGACCCUUAAUUCCCAACACCAUCUACCUUCACGCCACACUUGAUAACCCAAUAUCGUUCUUUCAGCC